This 488-nucleotide ribosomal RNA is filed under the name uncultured bacterium. RNAcentral's name for it is "bacterial SSU rRNA". It matches the Rfam family "Bacterial small subunit ribosomal RNA", at positions 38 to 518 of the family's 1533-position model. The record is from RNAcentral.
GGCGGCGUGCCUAAUACAUGCAAGUCGAACGAGGGUGCUUGCACCCUAGUGGCGAACGGGUAGAGUAACACGUAGGUAACCUAGCCCUUAACGCUUGGGAGUACCCAGAGGAAACUUUGGCUAAUACCGGAUAACAACAGAAGAGGCAUCUCUUCAGUUGAAAGGCCCUUACGGGUCGACUUAAGGAUGGACCUGCGGCGCAUUAGUUAGUUGGUGAGAUAAAAGCCCACCAAGACGAGGAUGCGUAGCCGACCUGAGAGGGUGAUCGGCCACAUUGGAACUGAGACACGGUCCAAACUCCUACGGGAGGCAGCAGUAAGGAGUUUUCGGCAAUGGGGGAAACCCUGACCGAGCAACGCCGCGUGAGUGAUGACGGCCCUAUGGGUUGUAAAGCUCUGUUGUAAGGGACGAAUGACUAGCUUAGGAAAUGAAGUUAGUUUGACGGUACCUUACCAGAAAGCCACGGCUAACUACGUGCCAGCCGCGGC